AUUGAACGCUGGCGGCAUGCCUUACACAUGCAAGUCGAACGGCAGCGGGGGAGAAGCUUGCUUUUCCUGCCGGCGAGUGGCGAACGGGUGAGUAAUACAUCGGAACGUGCCCUGUAGUGGGGGAUAACUAGUCGAAAGAUUAGCUAAUACCGCAUACGACCUGAGGGUGAAAGUGGGGGACCGCAAGGCCUCAUGCUAUAGGAGCGGCCGAUGUCUGAUUAGCUAGUUGGUGGGGUAAAGGCCUACCAAGGCGACGAUCAGUAGCUGGUCUGAGAGGACGAUCAGCCACACUGGGACUGAGACACGGCCCAGACUCCUACGGGAGGCAGCAGUGGGGAAUUUUGGACAAUGGGCGAAAGCCUGAUCCAGCCAUGCCGCGUGUCUGAAGAAGGCCUUCGGGUUGUAAAGGACUUUUGUCGGGGAGGAAAUCCCCAGCGUUAAUACCGCUGGGGGAUGACAGUACCUGAAGAAUAAGCACCGGCUAACUACGUGCCAGCCGCCGCCGUAA
Molecule: ribosomal RNA, 508 nt
Filed under: uncultured bacterium
Lineage: Bacteria
Description: partial 16S ribosomal RNA
Rfam family: Bacterial small subunit ribosomal RNA
Source: RNAcentral